GAUGAACGCUGGCGGCGUGCCUAAUACAUGCAAGUCGAGCGAAAAGACGAGUAGGUUGCUCCUCUGACGUUAGAGGCGGACGGAAGAGUAACAAAUGGAUAACAUAGCUAUGAGAAUGGGGGAAAUUCGGUAAAUAAUACCUCAUACCGUCUAAUAUAGUAAACAGGAUGGUUCAAUAGUGAAAGCGGGUUUUGCGGUCAAUUGUAGAUGGAUCAGCGCCGCAUUAGCUAGUUGGUAAGGUAACGGCUUACCAAGUCGACGAUGCGUAGCCGAACUGAGAGGAUGAUCAGCCACACUGGAACUGAGACACGGCCCAGACUCCUACGGGAGGCAGCAGUAGGGAAUCUUCCGCAAUGGGCGAAAGCCUGAUCGAGCCACGCCGCGUGAGUGAUGAAGGUCUUCGGAUCGUAAAACUCUGUUAUUCGGGAAGAACAAAUGUCUAAGUAACCAUGCACGUCUUGACGGUACCUAAUCAGAAAGCCCCGGCUAACUACGUG
Molecule: ribosomal RNA, 497 nt
Filed under: uncultured bacterium
Lineage: Bacteria
Description: partial 16S ribosomal RNA
Rfam family: Bacterial small subunit ribosomal RNA
Source: RNAcentral